Non-coding RNA from Firmicutes bacterium CAG:114, 192 nucleotides. It matches the Rfam family "6S / SsrS RNA". Rfam says of the family: E. coli 6S RNA was the first non coding RNA to be sequenced, but its function was unknown until recently. It consists of 184 nucleotides that fold into an extended hairpin structure with a large single-stranded internal bulge. The 6S RNA specifically associates with RNA polymerase holoenzyme containing the sigma70 specificity factor. Lineage: Bacteria; Bacillati; Bacillota. The record is from Rfam.
GACGCCCUGCUCGGUGCGUGGAACUGGACCCUUUUAAACCCACAUUUUUGAAACGGGACGCUCACUCGCUGUGUGAACUGCAGGCCUCCCAGCCUCGGCUGGAAGUUGGAAGCAACGAAGCACCGCGGAGGCAACCCACCUGCCAUCUCGUGCAGGUUUUAAUUGGGUCCCCACGGCCAGAGCGGGGCUUUC